This 389-nucleotide RNase P RNA is filed under the name Kiritimatiellia bacterium. RNAcentral describes it as "Kiritimatiellae bacterium (wastewater metagenome) RNase P RNA component class A". It matches the Rfam family "Bacterial RNase P class A". From Rfam's summary of the family: Ribonuclease P (RNase P) is a ubiquitous endoribonuclease, found in archaea, bacteria and eukarya as well as chloroplasts and mitochondria. The record is from RNAcentral. Lineage: Bacteria; Pseudomonadati; Kiritimatiellota; Kiritimatiellia.
GCUCCGGGCGCCGGUCGCCGGCGGGGCGCGUCAGCGCAUCCGCCGGAGGAAAGUCCGGACUCCACAGGGCAGGGCGUCCGUGUUGGCAACGAUGCGGAAUCCCUUUGGCAAACGAAGGGAAAGGAAAGUGCCACAGAAACCAGACCGCUCCGUCGCACGGCAACGCGCGGCAGAGCAAGGGUGAAACGGCGGUGUAAGAGACCACCGUCCGGGAUCGAGAGGUCCCGGGCAAGGCAAACCCCGUCCGGAGCAAGAUCAAAUAGGGAAUCGCAGGGGCGGCCCGUCCCGGUGCGCGGCAACGCGCGGCGGUUCCGGGUUGAUCGCAUAGACAAAUGACCGGGUCCGCCAAUGGCGGAUGACAGAAUCCGGCUUAUUCGUCCGGAGUCCCG